CGGGGGAACUGAAACAUCUAAGUACCCCGAGGAAAAGAAAUCAACCGAGAUUCCCCCAGUAGCGGCGAGCGAACGGGGAGCAGCCCAGAGCCUGAAUCAGUGUGUGUGUUAGUGGAAGCGUCUGGAAAGGCGCGCGAUACAGGGUGACAGCCCCGUACACAAAAAUGCACAUACUGUGAGCUCGAUGAGUAGGGCGGGACACGUGGUAUCCUGUCUGAAUAUGGGGGGACCAUCCUCCAAGGCUAAAUACUCCUGACUGACCGAUAGUGAACCAGUACCGUGAGGGAAAGGCGAAAAGAACCCCGGCGAGGGGAGUGAAAAAGAACCUGAAACCGUGUACGUACAAGCAGUGGGAGCCUCUUUAUGGGGUGACUGCGUACCUUUUGUAUAAUGGGUCAGCGACUUAUAUUCUGUAGCAAGGUUAACCGAAUAGGGGAGCCGAAGGGAAACCGAGUCUUAACUGGGCGUUAAGUUGCAGGGUAUAGACCCGAAACCCGGUGAUCUAGCCAUGGGCAGGUUGAAGGUUGGGUAACACUAACUGGAGGACCGAACCGACUAAUGUUGAAAAAUUAGCGGAUGACUUGUGGCUGGGGGUGAAAGGCCAAUCAAACCGGGAGAUAGCUGGUUCUCCCCGAAAGCUAUUUAGGUAGCGCCUCGUGAAUUCAUCUCCGGGGGUAGAGCACUGUUUCGGCAAGGGGGUCAUCCCGACUUACCAACCCGAUGCAAACUGCGAAUACCGGAGAAUGUUAUCACGGGAGACACACGGCGGGUGCUAACGUCCGUCGUGAAGAGGGAAACAACCCAGACCGCCAGCUAAGGUCCCAAAGUCAUGGUUAAGUGGGAAACGAUGUGGGAAGGCCCAGACAGCCAGGAUGUUGGCUUAGAAGCAGCCAUCAUUUAAAGAAAGCGUAAUAGCUCACUGGUCGAGUCGGCCUGCGCGGAAGAUGUAACGGGGCUAAACCAUGCACCGAAGCUGCGGCAGCGACACUAUGUGUUGUUGGGUAGGGGAGCGUUCUGUAAGCCUGCGAAGGUGUACUGUGAGGUAUGCUGGAGGUAUCAGAAGUGCGAAUGCUGACAUAAGUAACGAUAAAGCGGGUGAAAAGCCCGCUCGCCGGAAGACCAAGGGUUCCUGUCCAACGUUAAUCGGGGCAGGGUGAGUCGACCCCUAAGGCGAGGCCGAAAGGCGUAGUCGAUGGGAAACAGGUUAAUAUUCCUGUACUUGGUGUUACUGCGAAGGGGGGACGGAGAAGGCUAUGUUGGCCGGGCGACGGUUGUCCCGGUUUAAGCGUGUAGGCUGGUUUUCCAGGCAAAUCCGGAAAAUCAAGGCUGAGGCGUGAUGACGAGGCACUACGGUGCUGAAGCAACAAAUGCCCUGCUUCCAGGAAAAGCCUCUAAGCAUCAGGUAACAUCAAAUCGUACCCCAAACCGACACAGGUGGUCAGGUAGAGAAUACCAAGGCGCUUGAGAGAACUCGGGUGAAGGAACUAGGCAAAAUGGUGCCGUAACUUCGGGAGAAGGCACGCUGAUAUGUAGGUGAAGCGACUUGCUCGUGGAGCUGAAAUCAGUCGAAGAUACCAGCUGGCUGCAACUGUUUAUUAAAAACACAGCACUGUGCAAACACGAAAGUGGACGUAUACGGUGUGACGCCUGCCCGGUGCCGGAAGGUUAAUUGAUGGGGUUAGCGGUAACGCGAAGCUCUUGAUCGAAGCCCCGGUAAACGGCGGCCGUAACUAUAACGGUCCUAAGGUAGCGAAAUUCCUUGUCGGGUAAGUUCCGACCUGCACGAAUGGCGUAAUGAUGGCCAGGCUGUCUCCACCCGAGACUCAGUGAAAUUGAACUCGCUGUGAAGAUGCAGUGUACCCGCGGCAAGACGGAAAGACCCCGUGAACCUUUACUAUAGCUUGACACUGAACAUUGAGCCUUGAUGUGUAGGAUAGGUGGGAGGCUUUGAAGUGUGGACGCCAGUCUGCAUGGAGCCGACCUUGAAAUACCACCCUUUAAUGUUUGAUGUUCUAACGUUGGCCCCUGAUCGGGGUUGCGGACAGUGUCUGGUGGGUAGUUUGACUGGGGCGGUCUCCUCCUAAAGAGUAACGGAGGAGCACGAAGGUUGGCUAAUCCUGGUCGGACAUCAGGAGGUUAGUGCAAUGGCAUAAGCCAGCUUGACUGCGAGCGUGACGGCGCGAGCAGGUGCGAAAGCAGGUCAUAGUGAUCCGGUGGUUCUGAAUGGAAGGGCCAUCGCUCAACGGAUAAAAGGUACUCCGGGGAUAACAGGCUGAUACCGCCCAAGAGUUCAUAUCGACGGCGGUGUUUGGCACCUCGAUGUCGGCUCAUCACAUCCUGGGGCUGAAGUAGGUCCCAAGGGUAUGGCUGUUCGCCAUUUAAAGUGGUACGCGAGCUGGGUUUAGAACGUCGUGAGACAGUUCGGUCCCUAUCUGCCGUGGGCGCUGGAGAACUGAGGGGGGCUGCUCCUAGUACGAGAGGACCGGAGUGGACGCAUCACUGGUGUUCGGGUUGUCAUGCCAAUGGCACUGCCCGGUAGCUAAAUGCGGAAGAGAUAAGUGCUGAAAGCAUCUAAGCACGAAACUUGCCCCGAGAUGAG
This 2599-nucleotide ribosomal RNA is filed under the name Escherichia coli. RNAcentral's name for it is "partial 23S ribosomal RNA". It matches the Rfam family "Bacterial large subunit ribosomal RNA", at positions 185 to 2808 of the family's 2925-position model. Lineage: Bacteria; Pseudomonadati; Pseudomonadota; Gammaproteobacteria; Enterobacterales; Enterobacteriaceae. The record is from RNAcentral.